RNAcentral lists this ribosomal RNA (439 nucleotides) under uncultured bacterium. RNAcentral's name for it is "partial 16S ribosomal RNA". It matches the Rfam family "Bacterial small subunit ribosomal RNA", at positions 339 to 795 of the family's 1533-position model. The record is from RNAcentral.
CUACGAGCCGCUCCAGUGAGGAAUAUUGCACAAUGGGGGGAACCCUGAUGCAGCAACGCCGCGUGGAGGAUGACGCAUUUCGGUGUGUAAACUCCUUUUAUAUGUCAAGAAAAUGACGGUAGCAUAUGAAUAAGCACCGGCUAACUCCGUGCCAGCAGCCGCGGUAAUACGGAGGGUGCAAGCGUUACUCGGAAUCACUGGGCGUAAAGGACGCGUAGGCGGGUUGGAAAGUCAGGUGUGAAAUCCUACAGCUUAACUGUAGAACUGCACUUGAAACUUCUAAUCUAGAGUAUGGGAGGGGGAGAUGGAAUUAGUGGUGUAGGGGUAAAAUCCGUAGAUAUCGCUAGGAAUACCUAAAGCGAAGGCGAUCUCCUGGAACAUUACUGACGCUAAGGCGUGAAAGCGUGGGGAGCAAACAGGAUUAGAUACCCCCGUAGUC